This 468-nucleotide ribosomal RNA is filed under the name uncultured bacterium. RNAcentral's name for it is "partial 16S ribosomal RNA". It matches the Rfam family "Bacterial small subunit ribosomal RNA", at positions 28 to 507 of the family's 1533-position model. The record is from RNAcentral.
GACGAACGCUGGCGGCGUGCUUAACACAUGCAAGUCGAACGGAAAGGCCCUGCUUUUGUGGGGUUCUCGAUUGCCGAUCGCGUGAGUAACACGUGUGUAACCUGCCCUUGUCUUUCGGAUAACUUCACGAAACUGGGGCUAAUACCGGAUAGGAUCUCCUGCUGCAUGGUGGGCGUUGGAAAGUUUCGGCGGUUGGGGAUGGACUCGCGGCUUAUCAGCUUGUUGGUGGGGUAGUGGCUUACCAAGCCUUUGACGGGUAGCCGGCCUGGGAGCGUGACCGGGGACAUGGGGACUGAGGGAGGGACCAGACGGGUACGGGAGGCAGCAGUGGGGAAUCUUGCGCAGUGAGCCGACGCCUGAGGCAGCGACGCCGGGUGCGGGAUGACGGCCUUCGGGGUGUAAACAGCUGUCGCCUGUGACGAAGCGUUAGUGACGGUAAUGGAUAAAGAAGCACCGGCUAACUACGUG